UGGGGAAUCUUGGACAAUGGGGGCAACCCUGAUCCAGCCAUGCCGCGUGAGUGAUGAAGGCCUUAGGGUCGUAAAGCUCUUUCGCCUGUGAAGAUAAUGACGGUAGCAGGUAAAGAAACCCCGGCUAACUCCGUGCCAGCAGCCGCGGUAAUACGGAGGGGGUUAGCGUUGUUCGGAAUUACUGGGCGUAAAGCGCACGUAGGCGGACCAGAAAGUUGGGGGUGAAAUCCCGGGGGCUCAACCCCGGAACUGCCUCCAAAACUAUUGGUCUAGAGUUCGAGAGAGGUGAGUGGAAUUCCAAGUGUAGAGGUGAAAUUCGUAGAUAUUUGGAGGAACACCAGUGGCGAAGGCGGCUCACUGGCUCGAUACUGACGCUGAGGUGCGAAAGUGUGGGGAGCAAACAGGAUUAGAUACCCUGGUAGUCCACGCCGUAAAACGAUGAAUGUUAGCCGUCGGGCAGUAUACUGUUCGGUGGCGCAGCUAACGCAUU
This 490-nucleotide ribosomal RNA is filed under the name uncultured bacterium. RNAcentral's name for it is "bacterial SSU rRNA". It matches the Rfam family "Bacterial small subunit ribosomal RNA", at positions 355 to 861 of the family's 1533-position model. The record is from RNAcentral.